RNAcentral lists this ribosomal RNA (201 nucleotides) under Mesorhizobium sp. M1C.F.Ca.ET.176.01.1.1. Its description in RNAcentral is "partial 23S ribosomal RNA". It matches the Rfam family "Bacterial large subunit ribosomal RNA", at positions 1 to 199 of the family's 2925-position model. Lineage: Bacteria; Pseudomonadati; Pseudomonadota; Alphaproteobacteria; Hyphomicrobiales; Phyllobacteriaceae. The record is from RNAcentral.
GUUAUAGGGUCAAGCGAACAAGUGCAUGUGGUGGAUGCCUUGGCGAUCACAGGCGAUGAAGGACGCGGUAGCCUGCGAAAAGUAUCGGGGAGCUGGCAAACGAGCUUUGAUCCGAAGAUGUCCGAAUGGGGAAACCCACCCGCUUGCGGGUAUCCUGCAGUGAAUACAUAGCUGCUGGAAGCGAACCUGGUGAACUGAAAU